Molecule: ribosomal RNA, 782 nt
Filed under: uncultured Glomeromycotina
Lineage: Eukaryota; Fungi; Glomeromycota
Description: SSU rRNA
Rfam family: Eukaryotic small subunit ribosomal RNA
Source: RNAcentral
GAUAGAGGCCUACUAUGGUGGUGACGGGUGAUGGAGAAUUAGGGUUCGAUUCCGGAGAGGGAGCCUGAGAAACGGCUACCACAUCCAAGGAUGGCAGCAGGCGCGCAAAUUACCCAAUCCCGACACGGGGAGGUAGUGACAAUAAAUAACAAUACGGGGUUCUUUAGGAUCUCGUAAUUGGAAUGAGUACAAUUUAAAUCUCUUAACGAGGAACAAUUGGAGGGCAAGUCUGGUGCCAGCAGCCGCGGUAAUUCCAGCUCCAAUAGCGUAUAUUAAAGUUGCUGCAGUUAAAAAGCUCGUAGUUGAAUUUCGGGACCAAUAUGUCGGUCGUGCCUCGGUACGUACUGGCAUCGUUGGUUUCUCCCUUCUGACGAACCAUGAUGUCAUUCAUUUGGUGUCGUGGGGAAUCAGGACUGUUACUUUGAAAAAAUUAGAGUGUUUAAAGCAGGCUCACGCUUGAAUACAUUAGCAUGGAAUAAUGAAAUAGGACGUUUGAUUCUAUUUUGUUGGUUUCUAGGAUCGACGUAAUGAUUAAUAGGGAUAGUUGGGGGCAUUAGUAUUCAAUUGUCAGAGGUGAAAUUCUUGGAUUUAUUGAAGACUAACUACUGCGAAAGCAUUUGCCAAGGAUGUUUUCAUUAAUCAAGAACGAAAGUUAGGGGAUCGAAGACGAUCAGAUACCGUCGUAGUCUUAACCAUAAACUAUGCCGACUAGGGAUCGGAUGAUGUUAAUUUUUUAAUGACUCAUUCGGUGCCUUACGGGAAACCAAAGUGUUUUGGGUUCA